GAUGAACGCUAGCGAUAGGCUUAACACAUGCAAGUCGAGGGGUAACGUGUUGGAAGCUUGCUUCCGAUGAAGACGACCGGCGGAUGGGUGCGUAACGCGUAUGCAACUUGCCUCACAGUGGAGAAUAACCCGGAGAAAUCCGGACUAAUACUCCAUACACUCUUAAGUACGCCUGUACAUGAGAGGAAAGAUUUAUCGCUGUGAGAUAGGCAUGCGUCCUAUUAGGUAGUUGGUGAGGUAACGGCUCACCAAGCCGACGAUAGGUAGGGGUGCUGAGAGGGUGAUCCCCCUCAUUGGGACUGCGACACGGCCCAAACUCCUACGGGAGGCAGCAGUGAGGAAUAUUGGUCAAUGGAGGAAACUCUGAACCAGCCAAGUCGCGUGAAGGAAGAAUGUCCUAAGGAUUGUAAACUUCUUUAGCGAGCGAGUAAGGACUUCCACGUGAUGGGGGUUUGAAAGGAGCUCGGUAAUAAGUAUCGGCUAACUCCGUG
This 491-nucleotide ribosomal RNA is filed under the name uncultured bacterium. RNAcentral describes it as "partial 16S ribosomal RNA". It matches the Rfam family "Bacterial small subunit ribosomal RNA", at positions 28 to 507 of the family's 1533-position model. The record is from RNAcentral.